Molecule: ribosomal RNA, 464 nt
Filed under: uncultured bacterium
Lineage: Bacteria
Description: partial 16S ribosomal RNA
Rfam family: Bacterial small subunit ribosomal RNA
Source: RNAcentral
CUACGGGAGGCUCCAGUGGGGAAUAUUGCACAAUGGGCGCAAGCCUGAUGCAGCCAUGCCGCGUGUAUGAAGAAGGCCUUCGGGUUGUAAAGUACUUUCAGCGGGGAGGAAGGGAGUAAAGUUAAUACCUUUGCUCAUUGACGUUACCCGCAGAAGAAGCACCGGCUAACUCCGUGCCAGCAGCCGCGGUAACACGGAGGGUGCAAGCGUUAAUCGGAAUUACUGGGCGUAAAGCGCACGCAGGCGGUUUGUUAAGUCAGAUGUGAAAUCCCCGGGCUCAACCUGGGAACUGCAUCUGAUACUGGCAAGCUUGAGUCUCGUAGAGGGGGGUAGAAUUCCAGGUGUCGCGGUGAAAUGCGUAGAGAUCUGGAGGAAUACCGGUGGCGAAGGCGGCCCCCUGGACGAAGACUGACGCUCAGGUGUGAAAGCGUGGGGAGCAAACAGGAUUAGAUACCCCUGUAGUC